RNAcentral lists this long non-coding RNA (1195 nucleotides) under Octopus sinensis (East Asian common octopus). Its description in RNAcentral is "uncharacterized LOC118767688, transcript variant X1". The record is from RNAcentral. Lineage: Eukaryota; Metazoa; Mollusca; Cephalopoda; Octopoda; Octopodidae.
AUACAUACAUAUAUGUGUACGUGUAUACAUAACACAGACAGACAAUCUUCCCACUGAAAGCCAUUUCUUCUUUCUCUUUUCUAAUCCAGAAUUCUUCAAAUGCUCACGCACACAUACCUUCAUUUACACUCAUACCUUCCCUCCCACUCACUCACUCACACGCACACACCUGUAAUUCCCUCGUACAGUAACAUAAGAACUUUGUCACAUUAUCACACACAUAAAGAUGUGUUCGGUUGCUGUACAGAACAAUGUCAGUAGUGUGAAUUAACAACUGCAACAUGAACUGCAACAAUUACAACAACAACAAUAGUAGUAGUAGUAGCAGUAGUAGUAAUAGUAGUAGUAGUAACAGUAGUAACAACAAUAGCAACGCUGAACAGCAGCAACAGCAGCAGCAACAACAUUAAUAACAGAAUUGGAUAUUUAGGAGGAUGUGUGAAAGAUUGCUAACAAUGUGUGGAUUGUCUGAGAGAUUUCCAGUAUUGUGGGAAAUUGCUGAUUCUGUGGGGGAAUAUGUUGGUAAGUGCUAGCGCUGGUGAGGACAUCUGGAAGAUUGCUAACACUAUGAGGAUAGUUUGGAAGUUUGGUAGUCAGUCAUGUUCUGUGGGAAAAUAUCUGGAAGGUUGCUAAUGUCACAGAAAAUGUUUGAAAGGUUGCUAAUGUCGCAGAGAAUGUCCGUAAGUUGCUAAUGCCACAGAGAAUGUAAGGUUGCUAAUGUCACAGAGAAUGUUUGUAAGGUUGCUAAUGUCGCAGAGAAUGUUUGUAAGGUUGUUAAUGCCAGAGAUAAUGUUUGAAAGGUUGCUAAUGUUAUGACAAAAGUUUGGUAGGUUGCUAAUGCUGCAGAGAAUACCUGGAAGGUUUUUAAUGCCACAGAGAAUAUCUUGACAGUUGCUAAUGCUGCAGAGAAUAUCUAGAAGGCUGUUAAUAUCUGGAAAGUUGUUAAUGCCACAGAUAAUAUCUGGAAGGUUGCUAAUGCCACAGAUAAUAUCUGGAAGGUUGCUAAUGCUGCAGAGAAUGUUUGGAAGGUUGCUAACAUUGAAGAACGAGUGCAAACGGAACAUAAAAGGACUAGAGAGAAAACAAAAACAUUUAAAAACAAAUAGCAAAACUCACCCUACCAAAAAGAAAAAAAAAACCCCGCAAACAAAUGACAAUAUUGUAAUAGCAAUACCAAAACAUAUUGAUUUGUAUA